Molecule: ribosomal RNA, 431 nt
Filed under: uncultured bacterium
Lineage: Bacteria
Description: bacterial SSU rRNA
Rfam family: Bacterial small subunit ribosomal RNA
Source: RNAcentral
AACGAACGGCUGGCGGCAGGCCUAACACAUGCAAGUCGAGCGCCCCGCAAGGGGAGCGGCGGACGGGUGAGUAACGCGUGGGAACGUACCCUUUGCUACGGAAUAGCCUCGGGAAACUGGGAGUAAUACCGUAUGUGCCCUUCGGGGGAAAGAUUUAUCGGCAAAGGAUCGGCCCGCGUUGGAUUAGGUAGUUGGUGGGGUAAUGGCCUACCAAGCCGACGAUCCAUAGCUGGUUGAGAGGAUGAUCAGCCACACUGGGACUGAGACACGGCCCAGACUCCUACGGGAGGCAGCAGUGGGGAAUCUUAGACAAUGGGCGCAAGCCUGAUCUAGCCAUGCCGCGUGAGCGAUGAAGGCCCUAGGGUUGUAAAGCUCUUUCAGUGGGGAAGAUAAUGACUGUACCCACAGAAGAAGCCCCGGCUAACUCCGUG